RNAcentral lists this transfer RNA (66 nucleotides) under Marmota monax (woodchuck). Its description in RNAcentral is "tRNA.Thr". The stretch from base 3 to 59 matches the Rfam family "tRNA", at positions 9 to 63 of the family's 71-position model. Rfam says of the family: Transfer RNA (tRNA) molecules are approximately 80 nucleotides in length. Their secondary structure includes four short double-helical elements and three loops (D, anti-codon, and T loops). Lineage: Eukaryota; Metazoa; Chordata; Mammalia; Rodentia; Sciuridae. The record is from RNAcentral.
GCAGCUCAGUUGGCAGAGCAUUUGCCUAGUAUGUGAGAGGCCCUGGGUUCAAUCCCCAGUACUGCA